UCCGGUUGAUCCUGCCGGACCCGACUGCUAUCAGAGUGGGACUAAGCCAUGCGAGUCAACGCAGCAAUGCGUGGCAUACGGCUCAGUAACACGUAGUCAACAUGCCCAGGGGACGUGGAUAACCUCGGGAAACCGAGGAUAAACCGCGAUAGGCCAAGGUUCUGGAAUGGACACUGGCUGAAAUCUACAUGGCCUCUGGAUUGGACUGCGGCCGAUCAGGCUGUUGGUGAGGUAAUGGCCCACCAAACCUGUAACCGGUACGGGCUUUGAGAGAAGGAGCCCGGAGAUGGGCACUGAGACAAGGGCCCAGGCCCUAUGGGGCGCAGCAGGCGCGAAACCUCUGCAAUAGGCGAAAGCUUGACAGGGUUACUCUGAGUGAUGCCCGCUAAGGGCAUCUUUUGGCACCUCUAAAAAUGGUGCAGAAUAAGGGGUGGGCAAGUCUGGUGUCAGCCGCCGCGGUAAUACCAGCACCCCGAGUGGUCGGGACGAUUAUUGGGCCUAAAGCAUCCGUAGCUUGUUCUGCAAGUCCUCCGUUAAAUCCACCUGCUCAACAGAUGGGCUGCGGGGGAUACUACAGGGCUAGGAGGCGGGAGAGGCAAGCGGUACUCAGUGGGUAGGGGUAAAAUCCUCUGAUCCACUGAAGACCACCAGUGGCGAAGGCGGCUUGCCAGAACGCGCUCGACGGUGAGGGAUGAAAGCUGGGGGAGCAAACCGGAUUAGAUACCCGGGUAGUCCCAGCUGUAAACGAUGCAGACUCGGUGAUGGGUUGGCUUCGCGCCAACCCAGUGCCGCAGGGAAGCCGUUAAGUCUGCCGCCUGGGGAGUACGGUCGCAAGACUGAAACUUAAAGGAAUUGGCGGGGGAGCACCACAAGGGGUGAAGCCUGCGGUUCAAAUGGAUUCAACGCC
RNAcentral lists this ribosomal RNA (907 nucleotides) under uncultured archaeon. Its description in RNAcentral is "bacterial SSU rRNA". It matches the Rfam family "Archaeal small subunit ribosomal RNA", at positions 1 to 919 of the family's 1478-position model. The record is from RNAcentral.